Molecule: ribosomal RNA, 857 nt
Filed under: uncultured bacterium
Lineage: Bacteria
Description: bacterial SSU rRNA
Rfam family: Bacterial small subunit ribosomal RNA
Source: RNAcentral
GUUUGAUCCUGGCUCAGAGCGAACGCUGGCGGCAGGCCUAACACAUGCAAGUCGAACGAAGUCUUCGGACUUAGUGGCGGACGGGUGAGUAACACGUGGGAACGUACCUUUUGGUUCGGGACAACUCAGGGAAACUUGAGCUAAUACCGAAUGUGCCCUUAGGGGGAAAGAUUUAUCGCCAUUAGAGCGGCCCGCGUUAGAUUAGCUAGUUGGUGAGGUAAAGGCUCACCAAGGCUACGAUCUAUAGCUGGUCUGAGAGGAUGAUCAGCCACACUGGGACUGAGACACGGCCCAGACUCCUACGGGAGGCAGCAGUGGGGAAUCUUGCGCGAUGGGCGAAAGCCUGACGCAGCCAUGCCGCGUGAAUGAUGAAGGUCUUAGGAUUGUAAAAUUCUUUUAGCAGGGACGAUAAUGACGGUACCUGCAGAAAAAGCCCCGGCUAACUUCGUGCCAGCAGCCGCGGUAAUACGAAGGGGGCUAGCGUUGCUCGGAAUUACUGGGCGUAAAGGGAGCGUAGGCGGGUUAUCAAGUUGGAGGUGAAAGCCCAGGGCUCAACCCUGGAAUUGCCUUCAAAACUGAUAGCCUUGAGUAUGGAAGAGGUAAGUGGAACUCCGAGUGUAGAGGUGAAAUUCGUAGAUAUUCGGAAGAACACCAGUGGCGAAGGCGACCUACUGGUCCAUGACUGACGCUGAGGCUCGAAAGCGUGGGGAGCAAACAGGAUUAGAUACCCUGGUAGUCCACGCUGUAAACGAUGAUUGCUAGUUGUCGGGCGGCAUGCCGUUCGGUGACGCAGCUAACGCAUUAAGCAAUCCGCCUGGGGAGUACGGUCGCAAGAUUAAAACUCAAAGGAAUUGACG